GUCGUAACAAAGUAGAUGUAAGGGAACUUGCAUCUAGAUGA
Molecule: ribosomal RNA, 41 nt
Filed under: Leiobunum politum
Lineage: Eukaryota; Metazoa; Arthropoda; Arachnida; Opiliones; Sclerosomatidae
Description: partial 12S ribosomal RNA
Source: RNAcentral